UAAGUCAGACAGAGAAGGGCAAAUGCUAUAUGAUUUCACUUACAUGUGGAAUCUAAAAUAAAAAAAUGAACAAAACAGAAACAAACUCAUGGAGAAUAUUUUGAUGGUUGCCAGAUGGGAGAGGGACUAGGAGGGUGGGUGAAAAAAGAGACGAGAUUAAGAACAAAUUGGUAGUUACAAAACAGUCAUGGAGAUGUAAAGUACAGCAUAAGGAAUAUAGUCAACAAAAUUGUAAUAACUAUGUAUGGUGUCAGAUGAGCACUAGAUUUAUCAGAAUGAUCACAUCAUAAAUUGUAUAAAUGUUUAAUCACCAAGUUGCAUACCUGAAACUAAUAUAAUAUUGUAUGCUAACUGUAAUUGGAAAAUAAAAAAUAUUUAAAAAAACAAAAUGUGGACAGUUUUUAUAGUUUUGUUAAUACAUUCUUUUUAAAGAAAACCAUCAAGACAUUUUUCAUUUCUUUUAAAAGUGAUCAUGUCUCCCCUGGUAGUGUAAUAAUUCUGAAAUUACCAGAGCAUAAUUUAAAAAUAGUCAAAUCACAAUAAAAUUGCAAACAUCAAAUCCCCCAAACCACAACUACCAAUCACCUCAAAUUUGCACAUAUUGAUCAUUUUUACCCAAACCUAUUAUGAGUAAUGAUAACUGAACCAUCAAGUAAUACCUAUAUCUAGGAAAUCAGACUCUGACCAAUAAAAAUAGUCAAACGAACAAAUCCCAUCAUUUCUUCUGUUCUAUCAUAAAUGCUUAGAAAUCAUUAAGGCUCUCAAGGUACUUUUCCAAUUAGAACUCUCCCAACAGAUUUUGAAAAGUCAACCUGAAUGUCAAAAUCUGCAGUUUUCACAAGAAUAGCACUCUUCUCAGAAUACUAUCAUAAUAUCGCUUGCCUUGUAAGCGUUUCCUAUUAAGAUUGCCCUGGGUUUUGACAAAUCAAAGAGCCAGUUAAAAACAAAAACCAAAACGAUUUAAUUCUUCCAAACAACUUAACUCUCCAAAAAAAAAAGGGCCUCAAUAAAGAGCAAAAAAAAAACUGGUUAAAGGACAAUUUUUUAAAAACUGCAACCGGACUCAACCAAAAUUCUAAAAAUACUAUCUGCACACGUACAGACGAAGCGGUCAGUUAUUAUGGACACGCAAAGUUCCUUGUCAACAUCGGGAAAGCAGGGGAGGCCUGCCUUUGUAUCAAUGCAAAGAUGGGAAGGAGAACUGAAAAACAUUAAUUGCUGAACAAAAUAUUGCGAACUAAAUUGCCAAACUGCAAAACAGCAAGUUAUCCUUUGGGUUAGCCUUCCCCAGGAAGAAAAAUGAUUUUUUAAAUUAAAUUAUUCCAGUAACAUCAAAACGGGCCUAAGGGCCCGGCUGAGAAAAGAAAGGGAAAGUUUGGGGAUAGCAUCUAAGAACCAUGGUGGAAAUUCCUGUGCCCUGAUCCCGGAGAGGGGCAAAAGGGGGCGAGAGCGGCGUUUGCGGCCGCUGGCUGGCGGUGGGGAGUCGAGCUACCGCUGGAUCCCGGUGGGAGAGUGACAAGGAAGAGGAGGAGGUGGCCUAGGAGAGAAUGGAAGCUUCAGCGCCGGCCAGUUGUGACCGAAACUCUGUCCACUUGGAGUCGUGGAGAAGACAGAGGAGGAAAAUUAUGGGCAAUUUCCAGAGAAACAGAAGCUGUAGUUGGCCUCUCAAGGGCUUCCCCAGAACCACUUCUACAUCAACUGGAUCCCUACAACAAGCAUAUAUCAAAACAGUGAGCAAACUAAAAGCUUACAUAAAUGGCUCUGUCUUGAUGAUUAAACUGGCUCACUGAUGCGUGCCAAUGA
Molecule: long non-coding RNA, 1803 nt
Organism: Pteropus alecto (black flying fox)
Lineage: Eukaryota; Metazoa; Chordata; Mammalia; Chiroptera; Pteropodidae
Exons: 3
Source: RefSeq, a predicted model, not a curated record